GUACAAUGGCGGGGUUUUGGUGCACGCGGACAUGUCCAUGUCCGCAGUUAAACGGGAAACACGAUGCUCGGCAAGAUCGCUAGCCAACGUGUGCUGCCCCCGCAACGGUAAAACAAGCGUCGCUGUAUAUAGUCACCAGCGACAGAGCGUGUCUCACACCACUGUGCGUUUGCAUGGGAAGGUUAUGCGCCUGGACUUGUUAGCCCGGAUACCGGCCAAAGCAGGUGGAGUAAA
This 234-nucleotide non-coding RNA is filed under the name Collimonas fungivorans. RNAcentral also lists the same sequence under 1 other name. Lineage: Bacteria; Pseudomonadati; Pseudomonadota; Betaproteobacteria; Burkholderiales; Oxalobacteraceae. The record is from RNAcentral.